Molecule: ribosomal RNA, 468 nt
Filed under: uncultured bacterium
Lineage: Bacteria
Description: partial 16S ribosomal RNA
Rfam family: Bacterial small subunit ribosomal RNA
Source: RNAcentral
GAUGAACGCUGGCGGCGUGCUUAACACAUGCAAGUCGAACGGAAAGGCCCAAGCUUACUUGGGUACUCGAGUGGCGAACGGGUGAGUAACACGUGGGUGAUCUGCCCUGCACUUCGGGAUAAGCCUGGGAAACUGGGUCUAAUACCGGAUAGGACGAUGGUUUGGAUGCCAUUGUGGAAAGUUUUUUCGGUGUGGGAUGAGCUCGCGGCCUAUCAGCUUGUUGGUGGGGUAAUGGCCUACCAAGGCGUCGACGGGUAGCCGGCCUGAGAGGGUGUACGGCCACAUUGGGACUGAGAUACGGCCCAGACUCCUACGGGAGGCAGCAAUGGGGAAUAUUGCACAAUGGGCGCAAGCCUGAUGCAGCGACGCCGCGUGGGGGAUGACGGCCUUCGGGUUGUAAACUCCUUUCGCUAGGGACGAAGCGUUUUUGUGACGGUACCUGGAGAAGAAGCACCGGCUAACUACGUG